This 578-nucleotide ribosomal RNA is filed under the name uncultured marine eukaryote. RNAcentral describes it as "SSU rRNA". It matches the Rfam family "Eukaryotic small subunit ribosomal RNA", at positions 621 to 1203 of the family's 1831-position model. The record is from RNAcentral.
AGAACGCUCGUAGUCGGAUUUCGGGGCGGGCCGACCGGUCUGCCGAUGGGUACGCACUGGUCGGCGCGUCCUUCCUUCCGGAGACCGUGCCUACUCUUAACUGAGCGGGGGCGGGAGACGGAACUUUUACUUUGAAAAAAUCAGAGUGUUUCAAGCAGGCAGUGCGCUCUUGCAUGGAUUAGCAUGGGAUAAUGAAAUAGGACUUUGGUGCUAUUUUGUUGGUUUCGAACACCGAAGUAAUGAUUAAAAGGGACAGUCAGGGGCACUCGUAUUCCGCCGAGAGAGGUGAAAUUCUCAGACCAGCGGAAGACGAACCACUGCGAAAGCAUUUGCCAGGGAUGUUUUCACUGAUCAAGAACGAAAGUUAGGGGAUCGAAGACGAUCAGAUACCGUCGUAGUCUUAACCAUAAACCAUGCCGACUAGGGAUUGGAGGAUGUUCACUGAUUGACUCCUUCAGCACCUUACGGGAAACUAAAGUCUUUGGGUUCCGGGGGGAGUAUGGUCGCAAGGCUGAAACUUAAAGGAAUUGACGGAAGGGCACCACCAGGUGUGGAGCCUGCGGCUUAAUUUGACUCAA